Molecule: ribosomal RNA, 253 nt
Filed under: uncultured bacterium
Lineage: Bacteria
Description: partial 16S ribosomal RNA
Rfam family: Bacterial small subunit ribosomal RNA
Source: RNAcentral
UACGGGGGGUGCGAGCGUUGCUCGGAAUCACUGGGCGUAAAGCGCACGUAGGCGGAUCUUUAAGUCAGGGGUGAAAUCCUGGAGCUCAACUCCAGAACUGCCUUUGAUACUGGAGAUCUCGAGUCCGGAAGAGGUGAGUGGAACUCCGAGUGUAGAGGUGAAAUUCGUAGAUAUUCGGAAGAACACCAGUGGCGAAGGCGGCUCACUGGUCCGGUACUGACGCUGAGGCGCGAAAGCGUGGGGAGCAAACAGG